CUCUAACCCAACGUCUCUCUCUCUCUAAUCGGUUCUCUCUCUCUCUCUCUUUCUAACUCACGCCUCUUCUCCCUCCACAGAUCCGCCGCCGCCGCCGCCUGCUCCAACCUCGGCGAGAAUCGCCGGCUCCGACGCCUCCCUCACCCAACGCCUUCCCUCUCUCACCAUACCCUCUCGCUCACCACCUCCCAUCUGCCCCUCUCUCUCUCUCUUGCGUACCCGACAGCAGACGGCCAAGGAAGGAGCGCCGCCAUCACUGCUGCUGCUGCUCCGUUCUCGGCCGCGUUAGUGGCGCCUGGCCUCCGGCCGCGCCACCUCGUUCAGCCGCCCCGGACUUCGCCGCCUUGCUCCGACUCUGUCUGCCUUGGCCGCGAGUGGCCGGCGGGCUGCUGCCAUGCAUGCAGCGCCGGCAGCCGCGGCCUUGACAGCCCGCGCCGAGCUCGGAUAGCCCCCCCUUUCUCCCUCUCAACGAUUCCUCGACUAUCACUCACCGGAGGAACAAAAGGAAUUUCAAAAUGUAAAGAUUUGAUUUUUGGUGUUUUGUAUUUCUGAAAUCUUUGAAGUUAUAAGAAAAGAAAGUUUAUGCCACUGCUGAGUUCUGAUUUGGGCGUCAAAAAUGGUUUCUUGAACAGUCCUUGCUGGGUUUAGUCGAUUGAGUCCUAAAGUUUGUGUUCUAGUCAUUGAGUUUUCUGUUAUGAUGUGGGUUUAGUAGUCUAUGAUCUUUCUUCUUUCUUCUUUUUCUUUUUUUUUUACAAAAUGGAAGAAAAUAUAGAAGGGAAUUUAUAAAUGUAUGGGAGUUGACCUUUCUUCUUGAGUGUUGCUGUCUUUUGUUUGAGAUUUUCUGUAACAAAAGGAAAAGAUCGCUUGGUUGUUCAUAUGAAAAAGACAAAAGAGAGAGUGAAUGAAGUUACUGAAUUUAGUUGGAGUCUUGAGCUUUUGUAAGCAGCAAUGAAGUAUUGACAGAUGUUGUUAGUAUUGAUUUCAUCCGGUCAUAAAAUUUCUGCAAUUGAAUGAAAGCAAAUUGAAUGGGAGAGAAGAAAUUACCUUCAGAAAUUGGAGUGUGCGGAUUAAAAAUGUUUGUGGGUCUGAAUCUUAAAGAAACAAGAAGAUGAAAAGCUUUUGGAUAGAAUUCUUGGGGAAAAAGGAAAAUGUUUCAAUUCUCGCUCGACUCGGCUUCUCACACUGAAAUCUUAAUUUUGGGCCAGUACUUAUCUCAAAAUUCUUGAGCUGAAAGCCCAUAAAAAAUAUUCUCUUAAAUAGAGAUUAUUGGACUUGAGGUCCAUCAAAAC
RNAcentral lists this long non-coding RNA (1289 nucleotides) under Salvia miltiorrhiza (redroot sage). RNAcentral's name for it is "long non-coding RNA (SMIL_LNC006788)". The record is from RNAcentral. Lineage: Eukaryota; Viridiplantae; Streptophyta; Magnoliopsida; Lamiales; Lamiaceae.